CUAGAGCGGUUCUAGACUCGGUUCUAGACUCGGUUCUAGAAGGUUCUAGAUCGGUUCUAGACUCGGUUCUAGACUCGGUUCCAGAGCUGGUUCUGGGUUCCAGGAGAGCUUCCAGGUCCAGGUGAGGUCCCAGGAGAGGUUCCAGGUUCCUGGAGCUGUUCCUGGAGAUGUUUCAGGUCCCAGGUGAGGUUCAGGUGAGGUUCAGGUGAGCCCAGGUGAGGUUCAGGUGAGGUUCCAGGUUCCUGGAGCUGUUCCUGGAGAUGUUCCGGGUUCCAGCUGAGGUUCAGGAGAUGUUCAGGUGAGAUUUAGGUGAGGUUCCAGGUCCAGAUGAGGUCCCAGGAGAUGUUCCAGGUUCCUGGAGAGGUUCCUGGAGAUGUUUCAAGUCCCAGGUGAGGUUCAGGUGAGGUUCAGGAGAUGUUCUGAGGUUCAGGAGAUGUUCCUGGAGAUGUUCCAGGUUCCAGUUGAGGUUUCAGGAGAUGUUCCAGGAGAUGUUCUGAGGUUCUGGAGCUGUUCCAGGUUCCAGGAGAUGUUCCUGGAGAUGUUUGAGGUCCCAGCUGAGGUUCUCUGUGUCUCCACAGGUGGCCAGGUGUCAGGUGACACUCGCGUGGUGGGUGGCCACGCCUGCGUGCCGCACUCCCAGCCCUGGCAGGUGACAGCUGAGGGACAGGGCAGGGACAGGAGAGGUCCAGGAGAGGUUCCAGGUUCCUGGAGAGGUUCCUGGAGAUGUUCCAGGUUCCAGAUGAGGUCCCAGGAGAUGAUCCAGGUUCCAGGAGCUGUUCCAGGAGAUGUUCUGAGGUUCAGGAGAUGUUCCUGGAGAUGUUCCAGGUUUCAGGAGAUGUUCCUGGAGCUGUUCCAGGAGAUGUUCCAGGUUCCAGGAGAUGUUCUGAGGUUCCUGGAGAUGUUCCAGGAGAGGUUCCAGGUUUCAGUUGAGGUUCAGGAGAUGUUCCAGGAGAUGCU
Molecule: long non-coding RNA, 957 nt
Filed under: Cyanistes caeruleus (blue tit)
Lineage: Eukaryota; Metazoa; Chordata; Aves; Passeriformes; Paridae
Description: lncRNA (ENSCCEG00000003580.1)
Source: RNAcentral